CAGAUUAUCAAUUAUUCAAUACAAUUGCUUUAUGCGAUUCUUCUUUGAGAGCUUAAGAGAGAUCUUGGUUCUUGACAUUGCAUCACGAAUAAGGUUUGAUACUAACUUGUAUGUUUCUUAUUCUUGCUGCUCUUGAAAUCAAUCCAUUAUAAGUGUUCUUAAUUGCAUGUUAAUUAAGGGUGCUUUAGAUUGGGGAAUUAUUUUCUGAAUUAAGUUCUUUUUACUAGGGUAUGUGUCGUUUCAGUCUCUAAUAGGCUGGGGUUCCGCAUCAAUUGGUAUCAGAGCUAGGCUUAGUAAUAAUUUCUUAACUAUCCUUUGCGUCUUUGCAUUCAAUUUUGUCCAUUAUUGGCUGAAUAUAUCACUUUGGAAAUCUGGUUUGGGAUACCUAUUAGAGCCGAAU
This 400-nucleotide long non-coding RNA is filed under the name Manihot esculenta (cassava). RNAcentral's name for it is "long non-coding RNA (MESC_LNC005300)". The record is from RNAcentral. Lineage: Eukaryota; Viridiplantae; Streptophyta; Magnoliopsida; Malpighiales; Euphorbiaceae.